RNAcentral lists this ribosomal RNA (494 nucleotides) under uncultured bacterium. Its description in RNAcentral is "partial 16S ribosomal RNA". It matches the Rfam family "Bacterial small subunit ribosomal RNA", at positions 28 to 507 of the family's 1533-position model. The record is from RNAcentral.
GACGAACGCUGGCGGCGUGCUUAACACAUGCAAGUCGAACGGUGAAGCGCCUUCCUUUUUGGUGGGUGUGGAUGAGUGGCGAACGGGUGAGUAACACGUGAGUAACCUGCCCCCUUCUUCUGGAUAACCGCAUGAAAGUGUGGCUAAUACGGGAUAUUCUGGGUCUGUCGCAUGAUGGGUCUGGGGAAGAUAUUGUUUCGGUGGGGGAUGGGCUCGCGGCCUAUCAGCUUGUGGGUGGGGUGAUGGCCUACCAAGGCGGUGACGGGCAGCCGGCCGGAGAGGGUGGGCGGCCAUAGAGGGGCGGAGAGGCGGCGCAGACUGCUAGGGGAGGCAGCGGGGGGGAAUAGUGCACAGGGGGAGCCAGGCUGAUGCCGCGACGCGGGGUGGGGGAUGGAGGCCGGGGGGUUGUGACCCUCUUUCGCGAGUGAAGAGGGGCUGCCUCGUUUGUGGGUGGGUUGACGGUAGCUGGAUAAGAAGCGCCGGCUAACUACGUG